AAAGAAAGAACGGACCUCGGUCCUUGUGCAAAGCUUCCACUGGUCCUGUCCCAGGCCGAUCUUGAAGAGGGUCGCGGCAACACCCAUGUCCCGUUCCAAGCCUCGCUGUGUAAGUAGGAAACCACACUGACAACAUAGAUAGGCCAUUAGCAUGCCCUCAAAACAACGUACAAAACUUUUAUAGUCUGAAUGAUUUUAAUUACAGAAAUAUGUUUAUGAAUUUGUCUUUUUUAAUUUUAAUUUUCUUUAACAUUAAUUUAUUUCAAAGAUGUGAAACCUUCCCCUGGAAAAAUAAUUUCUGCAGACUUCAGAUUUUAUAAUUUGUUGGUUUUUCUGUCUCAGGUCCGAGUGUAGCAGUACAGCCUCGUCCAGAACCAGGAUAAGUCCACUCCUCGGCUGUUACUGAGGAAGGUCACCGAUGUUCGGCCCUCCACGUUUCUCCUCCCCCAAGCUCAACCAGGUAAGUCACUCUCACUCCUCUUCUGUCUCUCCCUCUUUCUUUCCCUCUCCUCCUGUCUCUCAAAGAAAAAAAGAAAAAAGAAAGAAAAAAGAAAGAAAAAAAGAAAGAAAAAAAAGAAAGAAAGAAA
This 587-nucleotide long non-coding RNA is filed under the name Xyrichtys novacula (pearly razorfish). Lineage: Eukaryota; Metazoa; Chordata; Actinopteri; Labriformes; Labridae. The record is from RNAcentral.